AGAGUUUGAUCAUGGCUCAGAUUGAACGCUGGCGGCAGGCCUAACACAUGCAAGUCGAGCGCGAAAGGGUUUCGGCUGAGUAGAGCGGCGAACGGGUGAGUAACGCGUGGGAAUCUGCCUGGUAAUGGGGGACAACAUCUCGAAAGGGAUGCUAAUACCGCAUACGCCCUAAGGGGGAAAGUGGGGGAUCUUCGGACCUCACGUUAUCAGAUGAGCCCGCGUCGGAUUAGUUAGUAGGUAGGGUAAAGGCCUACCUAGGCGACGAUCCGUAACUGGUCUGAGAGGAUGAUCAGUCACACUGGAACUGAGACACGGUCCAGACUCCUACGGGAGGCAGCAGUGGGGAAUAUUGGACAAUGGGGGCAACCCUGAUCCAGCCAUGCCGCGUGUGUGAAGAAGGCCUUCGGGUUGUAAAGCACUUUAAGUUGGGAGGAAGGCUUUAAGGUUAAUACCCUUGAGGAUUGACGUUACCAACAGAAUAAGCACCGGCUAACUCCGUGCCAGCAGCCGCGGUAAUACGGAGGGUGCAAGCGUUAAUCGGAAUUACUGGGCGUAAAGCGCGCGUAGGCGGCUAUUUAAGCUAGAUGUGAAAGCCCCGGGCUUAACCUGGGAAUUGCAUUUAGAACUGGAUGGCUAGAGUAUGGAAGAGGAGUGUGGAAUUUCAGGUGUAGCGGUGAAAUGCGUAGAGAUCUGAAGGAACAUCAGUGGCGAAGGCGACACUCUGGUCCAAUACUGACGCUGAGGUGCGAAAGCGUGGGGAUCAAACAGGAUUAGAUACCCUGGUAGUCC
Molecule: ribosomal RNA, 789 nt
Filed under: uncultured bacterium
Lineage: Bacteria
Description: bacterial SSU rRNA
Rfam family: Bacterial small subunit ribosomal RNA
Source: RNAcentral